This is a long non-coding RNA of Anguilla anguilla (European eel), 531 nucleotides long. RefSeq lists it as uncharacterized. NCBI's taxonomy places the organism in Eukaryota, Metazoa, Chordata, Actinopteri, Anguilliformes, Anguillidae. The transcript is spliced from 3 exons. The record is from RefSeq and is a predicted model, not a curated record.
CCAACCAUUAGCAUGUUCAGAUUAAAUAUUAAUCGCAAAACAGUUGGGAAUUUUUAUUAAACGGCAAAGAGCAUAAAGCUUUCAUUUCUCUUGCUUCCUUGAGAAAAAAAAAACAGUCCUAAUAUCCUUAUUAUCUUUUUAAUUUAGGUGUAAUUGCUGUUUUGGGAUCACAGAGUCUGUUAUUGACACACUGAGCACUGGAGCUUGAAAUAGCAGUCUUAAUCAUGCAAGUCGCUGAAGGAGGCUCCCACUAGGUAAAGCGCUCUAAACGGGCGAUCCGUUCAUGAAGAUAUACGGAGAGCUGGCAGCUUCCCUGGGAAGGUUAACGUCUUCAAAAAGGAGAAAAAGGAAGACAUUUUGUUUCUAGAGCAAUGAGGCAAAGGAUUCCAAGAUGAACGCUACCGGGAAUGCUGAACACCAGGGACUGCAUCAGGAACGCUGAACACCAGGGACUGCAUCGGGAACGCUGAACACCAGGGACUGCACCGGGCACGCUGAACACCAGGGACUGCACCAGGAACACUAACACUG